CCUACGGGGGGCAGCAGUGGGGGAUAUUGCACAAUGGGGGAAACCCUGAUGCAGCGACGCCGCGUGUGGGAAGACGGUCCUCUGGAUUGUAAACCACUGUCCCCAGGGACGAAGAUGACGGUACCUGGGGCGGAAGCUCCGGCUAACUACGUGCCAGCAGCCGCGGUAAUACGUAGGGGGCGAGCGUUGUCCGGAAUUACUGGGUGUAAAGGGAGCGUAGGCGGGACUGCAAGUUGGGUGUCAAAUCUACCGGCUCAACCGGUUGCCGAACUCAAAACUGCAGUUCUUGAGUGAAGUAGAGGCAGGCGGAAUUCCUAGUGUAGCGGUGAAAUGCGUAGAUAUUAGGAGGAACACCAGUGGCGAAGGCGGCCUGCUGGGCUUUUACUGACGCUGAGGCUCGAAAGUGUGGGGAGCAAACAGGAUUAGAUACCCCAGUAGUC
Molecule: ribosomal RNA, 440 nt
Filed under: uncultured bacterium
Lineage: Bacteria
Description: partial 16S ribosomal RNA
Rfam family: Bacterial small subunit ribosomal RNA
Source: RNAcentral